RNAcentral lists this ribosomal RNA (1556 nucleotides) under Salmonella enterica subsp. enterica serovar Newport str. Levine 1. RNAcentral's name for it is "bacterial SSU rRNA". It matches the Rfam family "Bacterial small subunit ribosomal RNA". The record is from RNAcentral. Lineage: Bacteria; Pseudomonadati; Pseudomonadota; Gammaproteobacteria; Enterobacterales; Enterobacteriaceae.
UUAAAUUGAAGAGUUUGAUCAUGGCUCAGAUUGAACGCUGGCGGCAGGCCUAACACAUGCAAGUCGAACGGUAACAGGAAGCAGCUUGCUGCUUUGCUGACGAGUGGCGGACGGGUGAGUAAUGUCUGGGAAACUGCCUGAUGGAGGGGGAUAACUACUGGAAACGGUGGCUAAUACCGCAUAACGUCGCAAGACCAAAGAGGGGGACCUUCGGGCCUCUUGCCAUCAGAUGUGCCCAGAUGGGAUUAGCUUGUUGGUGAGGUAACGGCUCACCAAGGCGACGAUCCCUAGCUGGUCUGAGAGGAUGACCAGCCACACUGGAACUGAGACACGGUCCAGACUCCUACGGGAGGCAGCAGUGGGGAAUAUUGCACAAUGGGCGCAAGCCUGAUGCAGCCAUGCCGCGUGUAUGAAGAAGGCCUUCGGGUUGUAAAGUACUUUCAGCGGGGAGGAAGGUGUUGUGGUUAAUAACCGCAGCAAUUGACGUUACCCGCAGAAGAAGCACCGGCUAACUCCGUGCCAGCAGCCGCGGUAAUACGGAGGGUGCAAGCGUUAAUCGGAAUUACUGGGCGUAAAGCGCACGCAGGCGGUCUGUCAAGUCGGAUGUGAAAUCCCCGGGCUCAACCUGGGAACUGCAUUCGAAACUGGCAGGCUUGAGUCUUGUAGAGGGGGGUAGAAUUCCAGGUGUAGCGGUGAAAUGCGUAGAGAUCUGGAGGAAUACCGGUGGCGAAGGCGGCCCCCUGGACAAAGACUGACGCUCAGGUGCGAAAGCGUGGGGAGCAAACAGGAUUAGAUACCCUGGUAGUCCACGCCGUAAACGAUGUCUACUUGGAGGUUGUGCCCUUGAGGCGUGGCUUCCGGAGCUAACGCGUUAAGUAGACCGCCUGGGGAGUACGGCCGCAAGGUUAAAACUCAAAUGAAUUGACGGGGGCCCGCACAAGCGGUGGAGCAUGUGGUUUAAUUCGAUGCAACGCGAAGAACCUUACCUGGUCUUGACAUCCACAGAACUUUCCAGAGAUGGAUUGGUGCCUUCGGGAACUGUGAGACAGGUGCUGCAUGGCUGUCGUCAGCUCGUGUUGUGAAAUGUUGGGUUAAGUCCCGCAACGAGCGCAACCCUUAUCCUUUGUUGCCAGCGGUUAGGUCGGGAACUCAAAGGAGACUGCCAGUGAUAAACUGGAGGAAGGUGGGGAUGACGUCAAGUCAUCAUGGCCCUUACGACCAGGGCUACACACGUGCUACAAUGGCGCAUACAAAGAGAAGCGACCUCGCGAGAGCAAGCGGACCUCAUAAAGUGCGUCGUAGUCCGGAUUGGAGUCUGCAACUCGACUCCAUGAAGUCGGAAUCGCUAGUAAUCGUGGAUCAGAAUGCCACGGUGAAUACGUUCCCGGGCCUUGUACACACCGCCCGUCACACCAUGGGAGUGGGUUGCAAAAGAAGUAGGUAGCUUAACCUUCGGGAGGGCGCUUACCACUUUGUGAUUCAUGACUGGGGUGAAGUCGUAACAAGGUAACCGUAGGGGAACCUGCGGUUGGAUCACCUCCUUACCUUAAAGAAGC